UCCAAAGUUAGUGCUCUUUGCUGAACACCA
RNAcentral lists this non-coding RNA (30 nucleotides) under Macaca fascicularis (crab-eating macaque). Lineage: Eukaryota; Metazoa; Chordata; Mammalia; Primates; Cercopithecidae. RNAcentral also lists the same sequence under 1 other name. The record is from RNAcentral.